CUGUUUUCUGAAGGUGGCUGUCCUGCUGUUGGCAGCUUCUUUGUUUCGUGGGGUUUUUUUUCCCAGAGUGGGCUGGUUGCCAUCAGGUGGGAGUCAGGGCACUGUGAUGAGGACCUCACAUUUGCAUGCAGUCAGGCACUGGGGCACUUUUAGUGUGUGCUGUGUUGUAGUGUUACACCCAGGCUAGUGAGGAGGGGUGCUUCCCCCCUGAGGC
Scatophagus argus is the source of this 214-nucleotide long non-coding RNA. RefSeq lists it as uncharacterized. The transcript is spliced from 2 exons. The record is from RefSeq and is a predicted model, not a curated record. NCBI's taxonomy places the organism in Eukaryota, Metazoa, Chordata, Actinopteri, Scatophagidae.